RNAcentral lists this ribosomal RNA (487 nucleotides) under Pimelia sp. 11091. RNAcentral's name for it is "partial large subunit ribosomal RNA". It matches the Rfam family "Archaeal large subunit ribosomal RNA", at positions 1943 to 2666 of the family's 2987-position model. Lineage: Eukaryota; Metazoa; Arthropoda; Insecta; Coleoptera; Tenebrionidae. The record is from RNAcentral.
AGUCUGGCCUGCCCUCUGAUAUUUGAAUGGCCGCAGUAUUUUGACUGUGCAAAGGUAGCAUAAUCAUUAGUUUUUUAAUUGAAAGCUGGAAUGAAAGGUUUGAUGAGAAAAUAACUGUCUCUGUAUAGAUGAUUUAGAAUUUCAAUUUUAAGUGAAAAAGCUUAAAUUUUUUAUAAAGACGAGAAGACCCUAUAGAGUUUUAUAUUUGUAUGAAUUUGGAGAUUUAGGAAUUUAUUUUUUUAAUUUUAUUUAAAUAUUUUGUUGGGGCGAUGGAAAAAUUUAAUGAACUUUUUUUUGUUCGAAACAUUGAUUUAUGAAUAUAUGAUCCUUAUUUUUGGAUUAUAAGACUAAAUUACCUUAGGGAUAACAGCGUAAUUUUUUUUGGAGAGUUCUUAUCGAUAAAAAAGUUUGCGACCUCGAUGUUGGAUUAAAAUUAAAUUUUGGUGCAGAAGCUAGGAUUUUAGGUCUGUUCGACCUUUAAAAUUUU